RNAcentral lists this ribosomal RNA (775 nucleotides) under uncultured Neocallimastigales. RNAcentral describes it as "partial large subunit ribosomal RNA". It matches the Rfam family "Eukaryotic large subunit ribosomal RNA", at positions 23 to 628 of the family's 3401-position model. Lineage: Eukaryota; Fungi; Neocallimastigomycota; Neocallimastigomycetes; Neocallimastigales. The record is from RNAcentral.
AGAGAGAGACAUGCGCGCAUAUCAAUAAGCGGAGGAAAAGAAACUAACAUAGGAUUCCCUCAGUAACGGCGAGUGAAGCGGGAAGAGCUCAAAUUUGAAAUCUUCAAGGUUCUACCUUGACGAAUUAUAGUUUAAAGAAGUGUUUUCUGUUGGAGUUUUGGUAAAAGGUUCUUUGGAAUAGGACAUCAUAGAGGGUGAGAAUCCCGUAUUUGACCAUUAUUUCCAGCUUUGUGAUACACUUUCAAAGAGUCGGAUUGUUUGGGAAUGCAGUCCAAAAUGGGUGGUAAAUUUCAUCUAAAGCUAAAUAUUGGCGAGAGACCGAUAGCGAACAAGUACCGUGAGGGAAAGAUGAAAAGAACUUUGAAAAGAGAGUUAAACAGUACGUGAAAUUGUCAAAAGGGAAGCGUUUGACACCAGUGUUGUUUUCUCGAAAAUCAAUCAAAAAAGGCAGGAUUUUGUGUUGUAUUGACUUUAUCAGCUUUCUGCACUCUUUUCUUGUCUUUUUUAAUGCACUUUUCGUUUAACAAGUCAACAUCAAUUUCUUUUGUUGUAAAAGGGUCAUUGGAAGGUGGCUUUCUUUUCGGAGAAAGUGUUUAUAGCCUUGGCCUCUGCAAUCGGAGAGAUUGAGGUCUGCAGCGUAGAUCCUUCGGGGUUAGAUACAUUUGUGCUAAGUUAUAGCCUUUCAUAGACAACUUGUUGACUAUGAUCAGUCAUGUAGCUUACUCGCUUAUGCUAUUUUACCUACGCUUAGGAUGUUGAUGUGAUACUGCGAGCA